UACGGGGGGGGCAAGCGUUGUUCGGAAUUACUGGGCGUAAAGGGCUCGUAGGCGGCCAACUAAGUCAGACGUGAAAUCCCUCGGCUUAACCGGGGAACUGCGUCUGAUACUGGAUGGCUUGAGUUUGGGAGAGGGAUGCGGAAUUCCAGGUGUAGCGGUGAAAUGCGCAGAUAUCAGGAAGAACACCAAUGGCGAAGGCAGCUCUCUGGGACGGUACUGACGCUGAGACGCGAAAGCGUGGGGAGCGAACAGG
Molecule: ribosomal RNA, 253 nt
Filed under: uncultured bacterium
Lineage: Bacteria
Description: partial 16S ribosomal RNA
Rfam family: Bacterial small subunit ribosomal RNA
Source: RNAcentral